RNAcentral lists this ribosomal RNA (218 nucleotides) under uncultured bacterium. Its description in RNAcentral is "partial 16S ribosomal RNA". It matches the Rfam family "Bacterial small subunit ribosomal RNA", at positions 15 to 212 of the family's 1533-position model. The record is from RNAcentral.
GAUCAUGGCUCAGGACGAACGCUGGCGGCGUGCUUAACACAUGCAAGUCGAACGGAGCACCCUUGAUUGAGGUUUCGGCCAAAUGAUAGGAAUGCUUAGUGGCGGACUGGUGAGUAACGCGUGAGGAACCUGCCUCUCAGAGGGGGACAACAGUUGGAAACGACUGCUAAUACCGCAUGACACAUUGGAAGGGCAUCCUUCUGAUGUCAAAGAUUUAU